Long non-coding RNA from Gavialis gangeticus (Gharial), 163 nucleotides. RefSeq lists it as uncharacterized. NCBI's taxonomy places the organism in Eukaryota, Metazoa, Chordata, Crocodylia, Gavialidae. The record is from RefSeq and is a predicted model, not a curated record. The transcript has 3 exons.
GACCUGGGUCCCUGGCUCUGUAGCCCUACCAGGUGGGAGCUGUGGCUGAGGGGUGAGGGGCAUUGACAGAGCACCGGCCCAUUAGGGCUGCUCAGAGCCAAAAAGCAGUGCAGUGGGGAGCAGCUGCAGAUGCACCCAUGUCCUGGUGAGCAAAGGGGGCAGG